GCUUGAGAUUGUAUUGACUGGACUUUAAACGCUACCUGCAUUGCUCCGAGUAAAUAUUUGAAUUUUUAAAACCAAAAUCUUGGUAAGGUUUAAUUUUGAAUUAAAGUUUUAAGAUAACAAAUGUUGAUGAAAUUCUGAACUCGCACUUUACGAGGAAACUGUAAAGAGAGUGUUUGACUCAAAGAUAGGAUGCAAAGAUGACCCCUCAAGCCACCGUGCUGGCUCUGCUGAAUGCCUGGAUUGUAUCAGUUUGGAAAUGCAGGUCUACAAAUAGGUUGCGUCGUGGGAGGUCUGUCGGAAUGACUACUCGCUGUCUGCUACCAGUACCUAUCUCUACUGUGAACACGGUUGCUGUGGCUAUACAUAUGAACAAUACUGCUGUGCUGAUAACAUUGGACUGAUAGUCGGCUGUGCGUUUGGUGGCCUCGUGUUUCUGGGUGUUGUGGCGGCGGUUGUGUUUUGCUGCAUACAGAAAAAUAAACAAAAGAGAACCGCAAUACGGCCGCUCAGGAGGAGACAUACUCCGGGGACGAUGGCAAUUAUAUCAAAUGGUAGUCAUUGUGAUCCUAAUUUCAAACACGUCCUAAAACCGCCACCGUAUACGAUGGAUCCGCCUCCGGCUUAUUCUGAGAUCGUACACGUAUCUGCGUAUUCAGCAUCCACGUCCUACAAGAACGAUGACGAAUACACAACAACAGCAGUAAUACACAACGAAAACCCGCCCCCUACCGGGACCUCUUUACGUCAUAAUGUGCCAUCAGUGACUCAGUGUUUUCCCCCUGGUGCUGUGGACACACAUUCGGGGCACUGUAGUAACUAUAGUCAUUAACUAUAGUUCAGAUUUCAAAUGCUGUGAUACUUUAUUUAUUUAUUCAAAUUUUAUAAACUGUAUAUACGUACAUACAUAUCUUUUGUAAGUUUCGUCCUUUAUCCGAUAACAUUUCCAAGGCCUUUACACAUAAAUCGUUUAGGUAAGUAGGGAAAUAAACAAAUUAUUUACGAUUCUGAAUUGUGUUAGUUGAAUAAUCAAAGUGAUAAGAAGUAUUUUAUUGGCAAUAUUAUGAGAUACACGAAGCUUUCUAGUAUCAAUAAAUUGAUGUCAUUUUAUAGCUAAUGUCAAUAUUAUGAAUACUGACAGAACAUUUUCUGAUGAGACUAGAAAAUUGUGAAAUGUUGUUAUUCAUUUAAAUUGUUCGUAUUUAUUGCAUGUGUAUACAUAAACCAGAAGGACCAGUAAUUUAGAAAUAUCAGUUUUGAAGUAUCUUC
This is an RNA transcript of Ostrea edulis (European flat oyster), 1266 nucleotides long. RefSeq lists it as uncharacterized. Lineage: Eukaryota; Metazoa; Mollusca; Bivalvia; Ostreida; Ostreidae. The record is from RefSeq and is a predicted model, not a curated record. The transcript has 5 exons.